GGAAAGAUAUGUAAGCUCAGUAGUAGAGCAUCUGCUUUCCAUGCAAAAGAUCCCAGAUUCAAUCCCUGGCAUCUCCA
Podarcis lilfordi (Lilford's wall lizard) is the source of this 77-nucleotide non-coding RNA. The record is from the annotation of a GenBank genome assembly. NCBI's taxonomy places the organism in Eukaryota, Metazoa, Chordata, Lepidosauria, Squamata, Lacertidae.